UGCAAGUCGAGCGAAUCGACGGGAGCUUGCUCCCUGAGAUUAGCGGCGGACGGGUGAGUAACACGUGGGCAACCUGCCUAUAAGACUGGGAUAACUUCGGGAAACCGGAGCUAAUACCGGAUACGUUCUUUUCUCGCAUGAGAGAAGAUGGAAAGACGGUUUACGCUGUCACUUAUAGAUGGGCCCGCGGCGCAUUAGCUAGUUGGUGAGGUAAUGGCUCACCAAGGCGACGAUGCGUAGCCGACCUGAGAGGGUGAUCGGCCACACUGGGACUGAGACACGGCCCAGACUCCUACGGGAGGCAGCAGUAGGGAAUCUUCCGCAAUGGACGAAAGUCUGACGGAGCAACGCCGCGUGAACGAAGAAGGCCUUCGGGUCGUAAAGUUCUGUUGUUAGGGAAGAACAAGUACCAGAGUAACUGCUGGUACCUUGACGGUACCUAACCAGAAAGCCACGGCUAACUACGUGCCAGCAGCCGCGGUAAUACGUAGGUGGCAAGCGUUGUCCGGAAUUAUUGGGCGUAAAGCGCGCGCAGGUGGUUCCUUAAGUCUGAUGUGAAAGCCCACGGCUCAACCGUGGAGGGUCAUUGGAAACUGGGGAACUUGAGUGCAGAAGAGGAAAGUGGAAUUCCAAGU
Molecule: ribosomal RNA, 635 nt
Filed under: uncultured Bacillus sp.
Lineage: Bacteria; Bacillati; Bacillota; Bacilli; Caryophanales; Bacillaceae
Description: bacterial SSU rRNA
Rfam family: Bacterial small subunit ribosomal RNA
Source: RNAcentral